UGCGUAGGUGGUAUGGCAAGUCAGAAGUGAAAACCCAGGGCUUAACUCUGGGACUGCUUUUGAAACUGUCAGACUGGAGUGCAGGAGAGGUAAGCGGAAUUCCUAGUGUAGCGGUGAAAUGCGUAGAUAUUAGGAGGAACAUCAGUGGCGAAGGCGGCUUACUGGACUGAAACUGACACUGAGGCACGAAAGCGUGGGGAGCAAGCA
Molecule: ribosomal RNA, 207 nt
Filed under: uncultured bacterium
Lineage: Bacteria
Description: partial 16S ribosomal RNA
Rfam family: Bacterial small subunit ribosomal RNA
Source: RNAcentral